AUAACCUCGGGAAACUGAGGAUAAUGUUUCAUAAUUGAAUUGGCUUGGAAAAGUUUUUCAAUGAAAAGGAUAAAAAUAAUGGUUUUUAUCUGCUAUAGGAUAGGAUCGUGUUCGAUUAUGGUUGUUGGUGAGAUAAUGGCUCACCAAGCCGAUAAUCGAUAGGGGCCGUGAGAGCGGGAGCCCCGAGAUGGGCACUGAGACAACGACCCAGGCCUUACGAGGCGCAGCAGGCGCGGAACCUCCGCAAUACACGAAAGUGUGACGGGGUUACCCAAAGUGUUCAAUAGAACUGUGGUAGGUGAGUAAUGUCCCCUACUAGAAAGGAGAGGGCAAGGCUGGUGCCAGCCGCCGCGGUAAAACCAGCUCUUCAAGUGGUCGGGAUAAUUAUUGGGCUUAAAGUGUCCGUAGCCGGUUUAGUAAGUUCCUGGUAAAAUCGGGUAGCUUAACUAUCUGCAUGCUAGGAAUACUGCUAUACUAGAGGGCGGGAGAGGUCUGAGGUACUACAGGGGUAGGGGUGAAAUCUUAUAAUCCUUGUAGGACCACCAGUGGCGAAGGCGUCAGACUGGAACGCGCCUGACGGUGAGGGACGAAAGCCAGGGGAGCGAACCGGAUUAGAUACCCGGGUAGUCCUGGCCGUAAACGAUGCAUACUAGGUGAUGGUACGGCCAUGAGCCGUAUCAGUGCCGUAGGGAAACCGCUAAGUGUGCCGCCUGGGAAGUACGGUCGCAAGGCUAAAACUUAAAGGAAUUGGCGGGGGAGCACCACAAGGGGUGAAGCCUGCGGUUCAAUUGGAGUCAACGCCGGGAA
RNAcentral lists this ribosomal RNA (807 nucleotides) under uncultured archaeon. RNAcentral describes it as "bacterial SSU rRNA". It matches the Rfam family "Archaeal small subunit ribosomal RNA", at positions 126 to 924 of the family's 1478-position model. The record is from RNAcentral.